Molecule: long non-coding RNA, 892 nt
Organism: Stomoxys calcitrans (stable fly)
Lineage: Eukaryota; Metazoa; Arthropoda; Insecta; Diptera; Muscidae
Exons: 2
Source: RefSeq, a predicted model, not a curated record
AUGAAUGAUUAUACUCCGCUAGGGAAGAUGUAGUGGAAACAGUCUCAAUUUUACAUUUCAAACAAGCAGGGGUUACAUGCAAGGUCAAGUUAAUGAAUUUGGAAAUUUAAAUAAAAAAAUUACACACUCUAGACGUUUCCAGUUAUUGCUUUGGAAAAGUAAUUGUUACUGAUCUGUAACCCACAAGGUCUUCCAACAAACUAUGGCUGCCAGAUUUGUUUUGCUUGGAAGUAGAUUGUUGUUGGCACAUGACAUUAGUGAAGCUUCUGAAAAAUUCAAUUUGAACUUUCACCAAACAUUAUCAAAAAAAAACUUCAAAUUCAAUUAGUGGAAGCCGCCUGCCAGACAAGACGGGUUUUUGAGCUAGUCGUUUGUGCUCGUACCAGUCUCACAUAGAGAUUCUAUGGAUUUCUUCUCAUAUAGCCAUGGAUGGCAAUAAUCAAGUCCAAAAAUACACACUCAGUCUGCGCAAUAUCUUAAUACUACUUCGUUAUAAUUGGAACAAUAUAUGGGUCUUAAAACUAUUAUUUACUCUGAAAAAAAUCCUGACAACAGUGAGAUAAAUGCAAAUUAAUAGCCCGCCCCAGGAUAAAGAAGGGGAGAAAGCGCUCUCCAUUUUUGUGACGUUGUGAAUUCAACAAAGGAGGGGAUAUGACAAAUUUGACCCCCUCUGUGGUGGUUGUUUUUAUUUGUUCUUAUUUGUCCGCCUAUGACUCUCAAUGCCUAGCAAGAACAUAAGAAAAUAAUAAUGCGGUAUUCAGCGGUGUCAAGCUUCUCUACUAAGUGAUGUCGCUCCUUGUCACUCACUUCUACCCACUCUUCGUUAAUGAAAUGUUCGUGGGCCAGAUUUCUUUAAAAUCCAUAAAAAUAAUUUAAAGAAAAUUUAAUUUAA